RNAcentral lists this ribosomal RNA (467 nucleotides) under uncultured bacterium. Its description in RNAcentral is "partial 16S ribosomal RNA". It matches the Rfam family "Bacterial small subunit ribosomal RNA", at positions 28 to 507 of the family's 1533-position model. The record is from RNAcentral.
GAUGAACGCUGGCGGCGCGCCUAACACAUGCCAGUCGAACGAUUAAAGCACCUUCGGGUGUGUAUAAAGUGGCGAACGGCUGAGUAACACGUGGGCAACCUGCCCCUUUCAUUGGGAUAGCCACGGGAAACCGUGGAUAAUACCGAAUACUUCGAGACUUCCGCAUGGAAGACUCGAGAAAGCUCCGGCGGAGAGGGAUGGGCCCGCGGCCUGUUAGCUUGUUGGUGGGGUAACGGCCUACCAAGGCAAUGAUGGGUAGCUGGGUUGAGAGACCGACCAGCCAGAUUGGGACUGAGACACGGCCCAGACUCCUACGGGAGGCAGCAGUGGGGAAUCUUGCACAAUGGGCGAAAGCCUGAUGCAGCGACGCCGCGUGCGGGAUGGAGGCCUUCGGGUUGUAAACCGCUUUCAGCAGGGACGAGGCGAAAGUGACGGUACCUGCAGAAGAAGCCCCGGCUAACUACGUG